Molecule: ribosomal RNA, 253 nt
Filed under: uncultured bacterium
Lineage: Bacteria
Description: partial 16S ribosomal RNA
Rfam family: Bacterial small subunit ribosomal RNA
Source: RNAcentral
UACGUAGGGCGCAAGCGUUGUCCGGAAUUAUUGGGCGUAAAGAGCUCGUAGGCGGCUUGUCACGUCGGGUGUGAAAGCCCGGGGCUUAACCCCGGGUCUGCAUUCGAUACGGGCUAGCUAGAGUGUGGUAGGGGAGACUGGAAUUCCUGGUGUAGCGGUGAAAUGCGCAGAUAUCAGGAGGAACACCGGUGGCGAAGGCGGGUCUCUGGGCCGUUCCUGACGCUGAGACGCGAAAGCUAGGGGAGCGAACAGG